UUUAGAAGCCAUACCACCCUGAACACACCCAAUCUCAUCAGAAGAUGAGAAGCUUCUCUCAGAAGCUAAGCAGGGUCAGGCCUAGUGAGUACUUUAAAGGAAGAAGUAUCAUUACGCUUGAUUCUGACU
Molecule: ribosomal RNA, 129 nt
Filed under: Castor canadensis (American beaver)
Lineage: Eukaryota; Metazoa; Chordata; Mammalia; Rodentia; Castoridae
Source: RNAcentral